GACGAACGCUGGCGGCGUGCUUAACACAUGCAAGUCGAACGGAAAGGCCCUGCUUGCCGGGUACUCGAGUGGCGAACGGGUGAGUAACACGUGGGUGAUCUGCCCUGCACUUCGGGAUAAGCCUGGGAAACUGGGUCUAAUACCGGAUAUGACCUUCCAUGUAGUGUGGGGGGUGGAAAGAUUUAUCGGUGUGGGAUGAGCCCGCGGCCUAUCAGCUUGUUGGUGGGGUAAUGGCCUACCAAGGCGUCGACGGGUAGCCGGCCUGAGAGGGUGGACGGCCACAUUGGGACUGAGAUACGGCCCAGACUCCUACGGGAGGCAGCAGUGGGGAAUAUUGCACAAUGGGCGGAAGCCUGAUGCAGCGACGCCGCGUGGGGGAUGACGGCCUUCGGGUUGCAAACCUCUUUCGACAGGGACGAAGCUUCGGUGACGGUACCUGUAUAAGAAGCACCGGCUAACUACGUG
Molecule: ribosomal RNA, 465 nt
Filed under: uncultured bacterium
Lineage: Bacteria
Description: partial 16S ribosomal RNA
Rfam family: Bacterial small subunit ribosomal RNA
Source: RNAcentral